RNAcentral lists this ribosomal RNA (498 nucleotides) under uncultured bacterium. RNAcentral's name for it is "bacterial SSU rRNA". It matches the Rfam family "Bacterial small subunit ribosomal RNA", at positions 28 to 507 of the family's 1533-position model. The record is from RNAcentral.
GACGAACGCUGGCGGCGUGCUAAUACAUGCAAGUCGAGCGGAUCUCGAAUGCAGCUUGCUGCAUUCUUGAUUAGCGGCGAACGGGUGAGUAACACGUAGGCAACUGCCCAUCAGACCGGGAUAACAUCCGGAAACGGAUGCUAAUACCGGAUAAUCAAUUCCUUCGCAUGGAGGGAUUGGGAAAGACGGCGCAAGCUGUCACUGAUGGAUGGGCCUGCGGCGCAUUAGCUAGUUGGCGGGGUAACGGCCCACCAAGGCGACGAUGCGUAGCCGACCUGAGAGGGUGAACGGCCACACUGGGACUGAGACACGGCCCAGACUCCUACGGGAGGCAGCAGUAGGGAAUCUUCCACAAUGGGCGCAAGCCUGAUGGAGCAACGCCGCGUGAGUGAGGAAGGCUUUCGGGUCGUAAAGCUCUGUUGCCAGGGAAGAACGCUUCGGGGAGUAACUGCCCUGAAGGUGACGGUACCUGAGAAGAAAGCCCCGGCUAACUACGUG